RNAcentral lists this non-coding RNA (43 nucleotides) under Trypanosoma brucei brucei. Lineage: Eukaryota; Euglenozoa; Kinetoplastea; Trypanosomatida; Trypanosomatidae. The record is from RNAcentral.
AAUAAACUAACAGUGGUUAAUUCGAUGUGUAAAUUGAUAGUAU